CCGAGUUAUACAACUCAUCAACCCUGUGAACAUACCUAAAACGUUGCUUCGGCGGGAACAGACGGCCCUGUAACAACGGGCCGCCCCUCCGCGCAGAGGACCCCUAACUCUGUUUUAUAAUGUUUUUCUGACGUAAACAAGCAAUAAAUUA
Molecule: unclassified non-coding RNA, 151 nt
Filed under: soil metagenome
Description: partial internal transcribed spacer 1
Source: RNAcentral